Molecule: ribosomal RNA, 2909 nt
Filed under: Escherichia coli
Lineage: Bacteria; Pseudomonadati; Pseudomonadota; Gammaproteobacteria; Enterobacterales; Enterobacteriaceae
Description: 23S ribosomal RNA
Rfam family: Bacterial large subunit ribosomal RNA
Source: RNAcentral
GGUUAAGCGACUAAGCGUACACGGUGGAUGCCCUGGCAGUCAGAGGCGAUGAAGGACGUGCUAAUCUGCGAUAAGCGUCGGUAAGGUGAUAUGAACCGUUAUAACCGGCGAUUUCCGAAUGGGGAAACCCAGUGUGAUUCGUCACACUAUCAUUAACUGAAUCCAUAGGUUAAUGAGGCGAACCGGGGGAACUGAAACAUCUAAGUACCCCGAGGAAAAGAAAUCAACCGAGAUUCCCCCAGUAGCGGCGAGCGAACGGGGAGCAGCCCAGAGCCUGAAUCAGUGUGUGUGUUAGUGGAAGCGUCUGGAAAGGCGCGCGAUACAGGGUGACAGCCCCGUACACAAAAAUGCACAUGCUGUGAGCUCGAUGAGUAGGGCGGGACACGUGGUAUCCUGUCUGAAUAUGGGGGGACCAUCCUCCAAGGCUAAAUACUCCUGACUGACCGAUAGUGAACCAGUACCGUGAGGGAAAGGCGAAAAGAACCCCGGCGAGGGGAGUGAAAAAGAACCUGAAACCGUGUACGUACAAGCAGUGGGAGCACAGAGCAAUCUGUGUGACUGCGUACCUUUUGUAUAAUGGGUCAGCGACUUAUAUUCUGUAGCAAGGUUAACCGAAUAGGGGAGCCGAAGGGAAACCGAGUCUUAACUGGGCGUUAAGUUGCAGGGUAUAGACCCGAAACCCGGUGAUCUAGCCAUGGGCAGGUUGAAGGUUGGGUAACACUAACUGGAGGACCGAACCGACUAAUGUUGAAAAAUUAGCGGAUGACUUGUGGCUGGGGGUGAAAGGCCAAUCAAACCGGGAGAUAGCUGGUUCUCCCCGAAAGCUAUUUAGGUAGCGCCUCGUGAAUUCAUCUCCGGGGGUAGAGCACUGUUUCGGCAAGGGGGUCAUCCCGACUUACCAACCCGAUGCAAACUGCGAAUACCGGAGAAUGUUAUCACGGGAGACACACGGCGGGUGCUAACGUCCGUCGUGAAGAGGGAAACAACCCAGACCGCCAGCUAAGGUCCCAAAGUCAUGGUUAAGUGGGAAACGAUGUGGGAAGGCCCAGACAGCCAGGAUGUUGGCUUAGAAGCAGCCAUCAUUUAAAGAAAGCGUAAUAGCUCACUGGUCGAGUCGGCCUGCGCGGAAGAUGUAACGGGGCUAAACCAUGCACCGAAGCUGCGGCAGCGACGCUUAUGCGUUGUUGGGUAGGGGAGCGUUCUGUAAGCCUGUGAAGGUGUGCUGUGAGGCAUGCUGGAGGUAUCAGAAGUGCGAAUGCUGACAUAAGUAACGAUAAAGCGGGUGAAAAGCCCGCUCGCCGGAAGACCAAGGGUUCCUGUCCAACGUUAAUCGGGGCAGGGUGAGUCGACCCCUAAGGCGAGGCCGAAAGGCGUAGUCGAUGGGAAACAGGUUAAUAUUCCUGUACUUGGUGUUACUGCGAAGGGGGGACGGAGAAGGCUAUGUUGGCCGGGCGACGGUUGUCCCGGUUUAAGCGUGUAGGCUGGUUUUCCAGGCAAAUCCGGAAAAUCAAGGCUGAGGCGUGAUGACGAGGCACUACGGUGCUGAAGCAACAAAUGCCCUGCUUCCAGGAAAAGCCUCUAAGCAUCAGGUAACAUCAAAUCGUACCCCAAACCGACACAGGUGGUCAGGUAGAGAAUACCAAGGCGCUUGAGAGAACUCGGGUGAAGGAACUAGGCAAAAUGGUGCCGUAACUUCGGGAGAAGGCACGCUGAUAUGUAGGUGAGGUCCCUCGCGGAUGGAGCUGAAAUCAGUCGAAGAUACCAGCUGGCUGCAACUGUUUAUUAAAAACACAGCACUGUGCAAACACGAAAGUGGACGUAUACGGUGUGACGCCUGCCCGGUGCCGGAAGGUUAAUUGAUGGGGUUAGCGGUAACGCGAAGCUCUUGAUCGAAGCCCCGGUAAACGGCGGUACCGUAACUAUAACGGUCCUAAGGUAGCGAAAUUCCUUGUCGGGUAAGUUCCGACCUGCACGAAUGGCGUAAUGAUGGCCAGGCUGUCUCCACCCGAGACUCAGUGAAAUUGAACUCGCUGUGAAGAUGCAGUGUACCCGCGGCAAGACGGAAAGACCCCGUGAACCUUUACUAUAGCUUGACACUGAACAUUGAGCCUUGAUGUGUAGGAUAGGUGGGAGGCUUUGAAGUGUGGACGCCAGUCUGCAUGGAGCCGGCCUUGAAAUACCACCCUUUAAUGUUUGAUGUUCUAACGUUGGCCCCUGAUCGGGGUUGCGGACAGUGUCUGGUGGGUAGUUUGACUGGGGCGGUCUCCUCCUAAAGAGUAACGGAGGAGCACGAAGGUUGGCUAAUCCUGGUCGGACAUCAGGAGGUUAGUGCAAUGGCAUAAGCCAGCUUGACUGCGAGCGUGACGGCGCGAGCAGGUGCGAAAGCAGGUCAUAGUGAUCCGGUGGUUCUGAAUGGAAGGGCCAUCGCUCAACGGAUAAAAGGUACUCCGGGGAUAACAGGCUGAUACCGCCCAAGAGUUCAUAUCGACGGCGGUGUUUGGCACCUCGAUGUCGGCUCAUCACAUCCUGGGGCUGAAGUAGGUCCCAAGGGUAUGGCUGUUCGCCAUUUAAAGUGGUACGCGAGCUGGGUUUAGAACGUCGUGAGACAGUUCGGUCCCUAUCUGCCGUGGGCGCUGGAGAACUGAGGGGGCUGCUCCUAGUACGAGAGGACCGGAGUGGACGCAUCACUGGUGUUCGGGUUGUCAUGCCAAUGGCACUGCCCGGUAGCUAAAUGCGGAAGAGAUAAGUGCUGAAAGCAUCUAAGCACGAAACUUGCCCCGAGAUGAGUUCUCCCUGACUCCUUGAGAGUCCUGAAGGAACGUUGAAGACGACGACGUUGAUAGGCCGGGUGUGUAAGCGCAGCGAUGCGUUGAGCUAACCGGUACUAAUGAACCGUGAGGCUUAACCUU